CUUGCUUUCUUUGCUGGCGACCGGCGCACGGGUGAGUAACACGUAUCCAACCUGCCCUUUACUCGGGGAUAGCCUUUCGAAAGAAAGAUUAAUACCCGAUAGCAUAAUGAUUCCGCAUGGUUUCAUUAUUAAAGGAUUCCGGUAAAGGAUGGGGAUGCGUUCCAUUAGGUUGUUGGUGGGGUAACGGCCCACCAAGCCUUCGAUGGAUAGGGGUUCUGAGAGGAAGGUCCCCCACAUUGGAACUGAGACACGGUCCAAACUCCUACGGGAGGCAGCAUG
Molecule: ribosomal RNA, 279 nt
Filed under: uncultured bacterium
Lineage: Bacteria
Description: partial 16S ribosomal RNA
Rfam family: Bacterial small subunit ribosomal RNA
Source: RNAcentral